This 735-nucleotide ribosomal RNA is filed under the name uncultured bacterium. RNAcentral's name for it is "bacterial SSU rRNA". It matches the Rfam family "Bacterial small subunit ribosomal RNA", at positions 335 to 1064 of the family's 1533-position model. The record is from RNAcentral.
ACUCCUACGGGAGGCUGCAGUGGGGAAUAUUGCGCAAUGGGGGGAACCCUGACGCAGCCAUGCCGCGUGAAUGAAGAAGGCCUUCGGGUUGUAAAGUUCUUUCGGUAUUGAGGAAGGUUGAUGUGUUAAUAGCACAUCAAAUUGACGUUAAAUACAGAAGAAGCACCGGCUAACUCCGUGCCAGCAGCCGCGGUAAUACGGAGGGUGCGAGCGUUAAUCGGAAUAACUGGGCGUAAAGGGCACGCAGGCGGUUAUUUAAGUGAGGUGUGAAAGCCCUGGGCUUAACCUAGGAAUUGCAUUUCAGACUGGGUAACUAGAGUACUUUAGGGAGGGGUAGAAUUCCACGUGUAGCGGUGAAAUGCGUAGAGAUGUGGAGGAAUACCGAAGGCGAAGGCAGCCCCUUGGGAAUGUACUGACGCUCAUGUGCGAAAGCGUGGGGAGCAAACAGGAUUAGAUACCCUGGUAGUCCACGCCGUAAACGCUGUCGAUUUGGGGGUUGGGGUUUAACUCUGGCGCCCGUAGCUAACGUGAUAAAUCGACCGCCUGGGGAGUACGGCCGCAAGGUUAAAACUCAAAUGAAUUGACGGGGGCCCGCACAAGCAGUGGAGCAUGUGGUUUAAUUCGAUGCAACGCGAAGAACCUUACCUACUCUUGACAUCCUAAGAAGAGCUCAGAGAUGAGCUUGUGCCUUCGGGAACUUAGAGACAGGUGAUGCAUGGAUGUCGUCAGCUCGUG